UACGUAGGGUGCGAGCGUUGUCCGGAAUUAUUGGGCGUAAGGAGCUUGUAGGCGGUUUGUCGCGUCUGCUGUGAAAAUCCGAGGCUCAACCUCGGACUUGCAGUGGGUACGGGCAGACUAGAGUGUGGUAGGGGAGACUGGAAUUCCUGGUGUAGCGGUGGAAUGCGCAGAUAUCAGGAGGAACACCGAUGGCGAAGGCAGGUCUCUGGGCCACUACUGACGCUGAGAAGCGAAAGCAUGGGGAGCGAACAGG
RNAcentral lists this ribosomal RNA (253 nucleotides) under uncultured bacterium. RNAcentral describes it as "partial 16S ribosomal RNA". It matches the Rfam family "Bacterial small subunit ribosomal RNA", at positions 524 to 776 of the family's 1533-position model. The record is from RNAcentral.